Molecule: transfer RNA, 77 nt
Filed under: Breznakia sp. PH1-1
Lineage: Bacteria; Bacillati; Bacillota; Erysipelotrichia; Erysipelotrichales; Erysipelotrichaceae
Also listed under: 7 other names
Description: tRNA-Arg
Rfam family: tRNA
About the family: Transfer RNA (tRNA) molecules are approximately 80 nucleotides in length.
Source: RNAcentral
GUCUACGUAGCUCAGUUGGAUAGAGCAUACGCCUUCUAAGCGUACGGUCAGGGGUUCGAAUCCCUUCGUGGACGCCA